UGGGGAAUUUUGGACAAUGGGCGAAAGCCUGAUCCAGCCAUGCCGCGUGAGUGAAGAAGGCCUUCGGGUUGUAAAGCUCUUUUAGUCGGAAAGAAAGAGUUGCAAUGAAUAAUUGUGAUUUAUGACGGUACCGACAGAAUAAGCACCGGCUAACUACGUGCCAGCAGCCGCGGUAAUACGUAGGGUGCGAGCGUUAAUCGGAAUUACUGGGCGUAAAGCGUGCGCAGGCGGUCUUGCAAGUCAGAUGUGAAAGCCCCGGGCUUAACCUGGGAAUUGCGUUUGAAACUACAAGGCUAGAGUGCAGCAGAGGGGAGUGGAACUCCAUGUGUAGCAGUGAAAUGCGUAGAGAUGUGGAAGAACACCGAUGGCGAAGGCAGCUCCCUGGGUUGACACUGACGCUCAUGCACGAAAGCGUGGGGAGCAAACA
RNAcentral lists this ribosomal RNA (427 nucleotides) under uncultured beta proteobacterium. RNAcentral describes it as "bacterial SSU rRNA". It matches the Rfam family "Bacterial small subunit ribosomal RNA", at positions 355 to 774 of the family's 1533-position model. Lineage: Bacteria; Pseudomonadati; Pseudomonadota; Betaproteobacteria. The record is from RNAcentral.